Molecule: ribosomal RNA, 736 nt
Filed under: uncultured Solibaculum sp.
Lineage: Bacteria; Bacillati; Bacillota; Clostridia; Eubacteriales; Oscillospiraceae
Description: bacterial SSU rRNA
Rfam family: Bacterial small subunit ribosomal RNA
Source: RNAcentral
GACGAACGCUGGCGGCGUGCCUAACACAUGCAAGUCGAACGGACGAGAUGGCUUCGGCCAUCGAGUUAGUGGCGGACGGGUGAGUAACGCGUGAGCAACCUGCCUUACAGAGGGGGAUAACACACGGAAACGUGUGCUAAUACCGCAUAAAUCAGGCUAAUGGCAUCAUUAGCUUGGCAAAAGAGCAAUCCGCUGUAAGAUGGGCUCGCGUCCGAUUAGAUAGUUGGCGGGGUAACGGCCCACCAAGUCUGCGAUCGGUAGCCGGACUGAGAGGUUGAUCGGCCACAUUGGGACUGAGACACGGCCCAAACUCCUACGGGAGGCAGCAGUGAGGGAUAUUGCACAAUGGGCGAAAGCCUGAUGCAGCAACGCCGCGUGAGGGAUGACGGCCUUCGGAUUGUAAACCUCUGUCCUCAGUGAAGAAAAAAAUGACGGUAGCUGAGGAGGAAGCCACGGCUAACUACGUGCCAGCAGCCGCGGUAAUACGUAGGUGGCAAGCGUUGUCCGGAAUUACUGGGUGUAAAGGGAGCGCAGGCGGGCGUGCAAGUCAGCUGUGAAAUCCAUGGGCUUAACCCGUGGGCUGCAGUUGAAACUGUAUGUCUUGAGUGAAGUAGAGGUAGGCGGAAUUCCGAGUGUAGCGGUAAAAUGCGUAGAUAUUCGGAGGAACACCGGUGGCGAAGGCGGCCUACUGGGCUUUAACUGACGCUGAGGCUCGAAAGUGUGGGGAGCAAACAGG